CCUACGGGAGGCAGCAGUGGGGAAUAUUGGAUAAUGGGGGGAACCCUGAUCCAGCCAUGCCGCGUGUGUGAAGAAGGCCCUCGGGUUGUAAAGCACUUUCAGUGAGGAAGAACGCCUGGUGGUUAAUACCCAUCAGGAAAGACAUCACUCACAGAAGAAGCACCGGCUAACUCCGUGCCAGCAGCCGCGGUAAUACGGAGGGUGCGAGCGUUAAUCGGAAUUACUGGGCGUAAAGCGCGCGUAGGUGGCUUGAUAAGCCGGUUGUGAAAGCCCCGGGCUCAACCUGGGAACGGCAUCCGGAACUGUCAAGCUAGAGUGCAGGAGAGGAAGGUAGAAUUCCCGGUGUAGCGGUGAAAUGCGUAGAGAUCGGGAGGAAUACCAGUGGCGAAGGCGGCCUUCUGGACUGACACUGACACUGAGGUGCGAAAGCGUGGGUAGCAAACAGGAUUAGAUACCCCAGUAGUC
RNAcentral lists this ribosomal RNA (465 nucleotides) under Vreelandella stevensii. RNAcentral's name for it is "partial 16S ribosomal RNA". It matches the Rfam family "Bacterial small subunit ribosomal RNA", at positions 338 to 795 of the family's 1533-position model. The record is from RNAcentral. Lineage: Bacteria; Pseudomonadati; Pseudomonadota; Gammaproteobacteria; Oceanospirillales; Halomonadaceae.